UACGUAGGGGGCGAGCGUUGUCCGGAAUUAUUGGGCGUAAAGCGCGUGUAGGCGGCUUUGCAAGUCGGGUGUGAAAGCCCUCAGCUCAACUGAGGAAGUGCGCCCGAAACUGCAGAGCUUGAGUGCCGGAGAGGGUGGCGGAAUUCCCCAAGUAGAGGUGAAAUUCGUAGAUAUGGGGAGGAACACCGGUGGCGAAGGCGGCCACCUGGACGGUGACUGACGCUGAGACGCGAAAGCGUGGGGAGCAAACAGG
This 253-nucleotide ribosomal RNA is filed under the name uncultured bacterium. RNAcentral's name for it is "partial 16S ribosomal RNA". It matches the Rfam family "Bacterial small subunit ribosomal RNA", at positions 524 to 776 of the family's 1533-position model. The record is from RNAcentral.